Molecule: ribosomal RNA, 501 nt
Filed under: uncultured bacterium
Lineage: Bacteria
Description: partial 16S ribosomal RNA
Rfam family: Bacterial small subunit ribosomal RNA
Source: RNAcentral
AUUGAACGCUGGCGGCAUGCCUUACACAUGCAAGUCGAACGGCAGCACGGGAGCUUGCUCCUGGUGGCGAGUGGCGAACGGGUGAGUAAUACAUCGGAACGUACCUUAUCGUGGGGGAUAACGCAGCGAAAGCUGUGCUAAUACCGCAUACGCCCUGAGGGGGAAAGCGGGGGAUCGCAAGACCUCGCGCGAUUAGAGCGGCCGAUGCCUGAUUAGCUAGUUGGUGGGGUAAAAGCCCACCAAGGCGACGAUCAGUAGCUGGUCUGAGAGGACGAUCAGCCACACUGGGACUGAGACACGGCCCAGACUCCUACGGGAGGCAGCAGUGGGGAAUUUUGGACAAUGGGGGCAACCCUGAUCCAGCAAUGCCGCGUGAGUGAAGAAGGCCUUCGGGUUGUAAAGCUCUUUUGUCAGGGAAGAAACACCGGCUCUAACACAGUCCGGGAAUGACGGUACCUGAAGAAUAAGCACCGGCUAACUACGUGCCAGCCGCCGCAGUAA